GUCGCCUACCGCGAAAUGCUCACCGAAGAGCUCAGCUACACGGCAAAAGUGGAAGACGGGCUCAGUGAGAAGAAGCGGCCCGAAUUUGUGCAGUUAACUAUGAGAUUGGAGCCGACUCAGGCCCAUAUUCCAUUCAAAAAAGUUGGAAAUAUCGAUUUUAUCUGAAAAAUCUGAAAAAUUCGGGCUUUCAGAUCGAGCUUGAACUCCCACAAACGGCCCGUCCUGUGCGUUUAGACUGGCAAAAAGCCGUCAACGAAGGAUGCUCAAAUGCUCUGCAAAAUGGGCCGCUAGCGUCGUAUCCAGUCCAUGUAAGGCUUGAAAAGACUGAAAAUCUGGAUAUUUUAGGCUUUUAGGCCUGAAAUAGCAAAAAAUUAAUUUUUUUCAGGCUGUUCGAGUGGUGCUGACCGAGUGUAUUGUUAGUGGAGGAAAGAUUAAUCCGGCGCUGUG
RNAcentral lists this small RNA (447 nucleotides) under Caenorhabditis elegans. Its description in RNAcentral is "Unclassified non-coding RNA Y119D3B.28". Lineage: Eukaryota; Metazoa; Nematoda; Chromadorea; Rhabditida; Rhabditidae. The record is from RNAcentral.